Molecule: unclassified non-coding RNA, 472 nt
Filed under: Hevea brasiliensis (rubber tree)
Lineage: Eukaryota; Viridiplantae; Streptophyta; Magnoliopsida; Malpighiales; Euphorbiaceae
Source: RNAcentral
AUAUUUUUCUUCCUUUUUUGUAUUUCACUUGUACCUAUAAAUGUAUACAACAUCUAAUAGAAAAGUAAGCUUAUGAACCACAUUUUUCAGUAUUUUUGGUUACCAAGCUUAAUUAUACGAGUUAUGACCCAUCUAAUGCAGCAAAGAAAAUAAAAGAAAAUAAAUCAUUUGCUUAGAAGACUAAUUAAAAAGCUUUAUAUUUUGUGAAGAGAAGAGACUGGAGAAGGCGACGAUUAAGGGGUUCGCUCACCGGAAAGACGAACAUAAAGCCGAAAUCCGGUACGAACCAGACUUCGAGGUUCCAGCUAGUUUCGGACAAGUGGGAGCUAUUUACGUUGAAAUGAGCACCGCAAGGAGAUGUUCAUCAAGGAUAUAACCAUUGAUGGCUUCCCUACUGGCCCAGUUAAUCUCGAUUGUAAUUCAUGGGUUCACCCCAAGACUCAGAACCAGCGGAAAAGGGUCUUCUUCACUA